RNAcentral lists this ribosomal RNA (524 nucleotides) under uncultured soil bacterium. Its description in RNAcentral is "bacterial SSU rRNA". It matches the Rfam family "Bacterial small subunit ribosomal RNA", at positions 26 to 528 of the family's 1533-position model. The record is from RNAcentral.
AGAAUCAACGCUGGCGGCGUGCCUCAGACAUGCAAGUCGAACGAUUAAAGCUCUCUUCGGAGAGUGUAUAGAGUGGCGCACGGGUGAGUAACACGUAAGUAAUCUACCCUCGAGUGGGGAAUAACGUCCGGAAACGGGCGCUAAUACCGCAUAAUGCAGCGGCACCGCAAGGUGACAGUUGUUAAAGAUUUAUCGCUUGAGGAGGAGCUUGCGGCAGAUUAGCUAGUUGGUAAGGUAAUGGCUUACCAAGGCUACGAUCUGUAACCGGUCUAAGAGGACGGUCGGUCACACUGACACUGAAUAACGGGUCAGACUCCUACGGGAGGCAGCAGUCGGGAAUUUGGGCAAUGGGCGAAAGCCUGACCCAGCAACGCGCGUGAAGGAUGAAGUUAUUCGGUAUGUAAACUUACGAAAAGAAGUGGGAAAGAAUACAAUAGGACGGUAACCAAUUUUAAUAAAGGUCCGGACUAACGUACGUCGCCAGCGAGCCCGGACGGUUAAUUACCGUGGAACGGCCGGGUCGU